This is a non-coding RNA of Pelobates cultripes (western spadefoot toad), 309 nucleotides long. The record is from the annotation of a GenBank genome assembly. NCBI's taxonomy places the organism in Eukaryota, Metazoa, Chordata, Amphibia, Anura, Pelobatidae.
GGGGUGACAGAGUGAGGGAAGGGGAUGACUGGUGACAGAGUGAGGGAAGGGGAUGACUGGUGACAGAGUGAGGGAGGGAGGGGAUGACUGGUGACAGAGUGAGGGAGGGCGUAGUGACAGAAGGAAGGAGGGAGUAGUGACAGAGGGAGGUGGUGACUAGUGACAGUCACCACCUCCCUCACUCUGCCACUAGUCACCCCUUCCCUCACUCUGCCACUAGUCACCCCUUCCCUAACUCUGUCACUGUGUCACCUGCUCCCUCACUCUGUCACUAGUCACCCCCUCCCUCACUCUGUCACUAAUCACCCC